AUGGAGCACGGACGAGAUGAGCAAGCAGAAGAUGUGUUGGGGGACAUAAUCUUAGCCGGAGGUGAUAUCUUGUCGUAUCUUAACGACAAUGAUGGUCUGGAAGAACAAGGUGAAGAAGCAGGCUGCGGUGAUCGAAGAGUGGAGGAGGAAAGACAUGAUUAUGAUGGCUCCGGUGACCCAAUGCUGGUGCAAGAAGGAGCCCGUGGUGACGGCUCCGGCGACCGAACAGAGUCCGGCCAGCCCUCCGGAUCGAGCACAACUGCGGUAAAGAGACGAGGCCCGAAGAGAAAGUUGCGCUCGGAUGAAAGGUUUGAGAUCACAGCAAUCGCGGGCGACGGCCAACCGAUUGAACCCCUCCGGACAAAGGAUGCUUUUGCUGCUCAGUGCGGGGUUCUAGUUAGGGACAAGAUCCCGAUCAGCAUCCACCAAUGGUAUAAGCCUAAGAAGGAAGACCCUGAGGUGUCUUAUGUCAAUGAUAUGCAGAAAGAUGAUCUUUGGACUGAGCUGAAGGCAAAUUUCACCCUACCGCCAGAGGAGGAUCCAGAGAAGCCAGUUAUAGAGCAAUUAAUCAAGUCUCAUGCUCUGAAGAAGAUGGCAGACCUAUUCAGGAGGUGGAAGAAUGAGCUGAAAACUUUUGUCGACAAAGAAGAGACACCAGAAUUCGUCGGCCGGUAUGAGAAGAUCAGAGAUCACUGGCCCGCAUUUGUGGCCCACAAGACAUCGGAAAAGAGUAAGAAGAUGUCAGCGACAAACAAGCAGAAUGCUGCGAAGAAGAAGCUUCACCAUCGCACGGGGUCAGGUGGCUACCUCAAAGCCCGGCCUAAGUGGGCCAAGUCUGAGAGGGAUCUGCUUGAUAAAGGGAUCGAACCAGAGACAAUGAACUGGCCAGACCGUUGCCGGACUUGGUUCUUCGGGGCUGGCGGAACCUUGGACCCUGUAUCAGGGAGGUGUCGUUGGACGGACGAGCAACUUGCAAUACCCGUCAAGAAGCUUAAGCACUAUAUCGAUGCAGCGCAGCAAGGGACGUUCGUUCCAGACAGAGAGAACGACGAGCUCACAAUGGCCCUCGGGAAUCCUGAGCACCCUGGACGGACACGAGGCACGCCAGGCUCCGUUCCGUGGAAGGCUGGUUUUCCGGACGCAGGCGGUUACAAAACCCAGGAGAGGAGGAAAAAGGUGGAGCAGAUCCAAAUUCAGUGUCUGCACGAAAGGGUUCAAGUGCUAGAGGAACGAGACGGCAAUAGAGAUGCCGAAACUGCCCCUGAAGCUACACCACCAUCUCAGCGUAGAAGCAGCGUGGCUUCCACCGAGCUGCCUCAGCUGGAGCAUGCGGCUACUCCUAGCUACCCCGUGGAUGCUAUCACGGAGUCUCAACAUUGCCACCUUAUGGCGGAAUGGCAGAACUUGAAAGUCAAGGCGGCUGUUGGCUCUGUUUUACCUACUGAACCCGGCGCAACCUACCACUGCCGGCCGAUUCCAGAAGGAUAUGCUAGGGUGAUGGUGGAUGAAAUAACGGAGGGAUUUGAGGACCUCCAGCUUGACCACCCUACCGGUGAAGGGGAGACUCGGCUGGGUUUAGCUCUGAAGACUCCAUGCCUAUGGCGGAAGGAGCUCAUCAAGCUUCCGAACUGGACGGCUCCGGCGAGUAAGGGCACUCCGCCUCCUCCUCCGCAGGGCAGCCAGCCUCCUCCUUCUCCGGCGCGUGGCGGCACUCCGCCUCCUUCUCCGCCAGCGCCGGCGCGCCAGGGCAGCCAGCCUCCUCCUUCUCCGCCUCGUCAGCAAGGGCGGAAGAGACCCGCCACCGCUGCGGCUGCUCCGGCGCGUCGUAGUCCUUCUCCUCCGCCUCGUAAGCAAGGAAAGAAGACAGCGCAGCCGCUCCGUCUGCUCUGCCGGCGUCUAGCAGUACAGCUGCCAGAGGCGGGAGGCAAUACAGAUUCGGUCCUUCUCUGA
This 1950-nucleotide ribosomal RNA is filed under the name Triticum aestivum (bread wheat). RNAcentral's name for it is "partial small subunit ribosomal RNA". Lineage: Eukaryota; Viridiplantae; Streptophyta; Magnoliopsida; Poales; Poaceae. The record is from RNAcentral.